ACCAGGUCCAACACCACAUACACCACAAGGUCCAACUAGUGGUGUAUGUGGUGUUACACCUGGUGGUGUAUGUGGUGUCGGAUGUGGUGUUGGACGUGGUGGUGUAUGUGGUGUUGGAUGUGAUGGUGUAUGUGCUGUUUGAUCUGGUAGUGUAUGAGGUGUUGGAUGUGGUGGUGGAUGUGGUGUGUGACCUGGUGGUGUAUGGGAUGUUGGAUGUGGUGUUGUAUGGGGUGUAGGAUGUGGUGUUGGACAUGGUAGUAUAUGUUGUGUUGGACCUGGUGGUGUAUGUGGCAUUGGAUGUGGCGGUGUAUGAGUGUGUUGGAUGUGGUGUUGGACCUGGUGUUGGAUGUGGUGGUAUAUGCGUUGUUGGAUGUGGUCGUGGACCUGGUGGUGUAUGAGGUGUUGGAUGUGGUGGUGGA
Long non-coding RNA from Ictalurus punctatus (channel catfish), 419 nucleotides. Lineage: Eukaryota; Metazoa; Chordata; Actinopteri; Siluriformes; Ictaluridae. The record is from Ensembl.